Molecule: long non-coding RNA, 744 nt
Filed under: Homo sapiens (human)
Lineage: Eukaryota; Metazoa; Chordata; Mammalia; Primates; Hominidae
Description: HSALNT0364227
Source: RNAcentral
AUUCUCUGAAAAAGUUAGCUCGACUCAGGUGAAUUAUUUCUUGCAUUUGUACAUGACAACCUGAUUCUUAUAACAAGGCUUACUUAUCAAAAGACUUUGAAGGAUCUCCCUUCUCAGCAUCAAGGUAGAACAAAAAGUUGGACAUAUGUACUGUGCAUGAUUUUCUUAGUUUUUUUUUUCCAGUCAAGAUUAAGAGUUGCACCUACCAGAAAAGAAUGAUCUUAUAGUUUGAAUUGCCAGCUUUAGAGAAAUGAUACACUAGAUCCCAUCAAAUAUCAAGACCUAUUUACUCUUUUCUCUAUUUCCUUAACCAAAAGAGGCUCUUCCUAACAAAAAUAACACCUACCUCAAUACUAAUAUACAAUUAACUAUAAUCUUCAAUCUAUUUUGUGACCAUUCCUAGUCUUCCCCUGGGACUUCUACAUGAUUCUUUCAAAACUCUUGAGCCCGGUGGGUGAAAGAUUGAAGAUACAAGUAAAAUUUAUAUGUUCCCAGUUUCUAUGGGGCCAGGGAAUUGGAUGCUAGUUUACAGAAAUGACUGUUUCCCAAAUUUCCCCAAUAAUAAUUUCUUAUGGUAUUUGUUAAAAAUACAAUUUCCCUGGUCUCAUCGCAGACUUGAUGAUUCAGAAAUUCCAAGACUUGGAAGCUAAGGAACUAUAUUUUUAACAAACACUCCUUAUGAUUCAUACCAUAAGAAAAAUUGGAAAAACAGUGAUAUAGACUAUCAGUGUCUGUUAUGUUCUA